GACGAACGCUGGCGGCGUGCCUAACACAUGCAAGUCGUGCGAGAAAGUUCCUUCGGGAGCGAGUAAAGCGGCGCACGGGUGAGUAGCACGUAGGUAACCUGCCCCCCAGUCUGGAACAACUAGAGGAAACUCUAGCUAAUGCCGGAUGAGACCACGAUCCCUUCGGGGGUUGCGGCCCAAAAGAUGGCCUCUACUUGUAAGCUAUCGCUGAGGGAUGGGCCUGCGGCCAUUAGCUUGUUGGUGAGGUAACGGCGUCACCAAGGCUGUGAUGGCUAGCUGGUCUGAGAGGAUGACCAGCCACACUGGGACUGAGACACGGCCCAGACUCCUACGGAGGCAGCAGUGGGGAAUAUUGCGCAAUGGGCG
RNAcentral lists this ribosomal RNA (366 nucleotides) under uncultured bacterium. RNAcentral's name for it is "bacterial SSU rRNA". It matches the Rfam family "Bacterial small subunit ribosomal RNA", at positions 28 to 377 of the family's 1533-position model. The record is from RNAcentral.